GACGAACGCUGGCGGCGUGCCUAAUACAUGCAAGUGGGACGCAAGGAAACACACUGUGCUUGCACACCGUGUUUUCUUGAGUCGCGAACGGGUGAGUAACGCGUAGGUAACCUGCCUAUUAGCGGGGGAUAACUAUUGGAAACGAUAGCUAAUACCGCAUAAUAUUAAUUAUUGCAUGAUAAUUGAUUGAAAGAUGCAAGCGCAUCACUAGUAGAUGGACCUGCGUUGUAUUAGCUAGUUGGUAAGGUAAGAGCUUACCAAGGCGACGAUACAUAGCCGACCUGAGAGGGUGAUCGGCCACACUGGGACUGAGAUACGGCCCAGACUCCUACGGGAGGCAGCAGUAGGGAAUCUUCGGCAAUGGACGAAAGUCUGACCGAGCAACGCCGCGUGAGUGAAGAAGGUUUUCGGAUCGUAAAGCUCUGUUGUAAGUCAAGAACGUGUGUGAGAGUGGAAAGUUCACACAGUGACGGUAGCUUACCAGAAAGAGACGGCUAACUACGUG
RNAcentral lists this ribosomal RNA (505 nucleotides) under uncultured bacterium. RNAcentral describes it as "partial 16S ribosomal RNA". It matches the Rfam family "Bacterial small subunit ribosomal RNA", at positions 28 to 507 of the family's 1533-position model. The record is from RNAcentral.